GUUUGAUCCUGGCUCAGGACGAACGCUGGCGGCGUGCCUAACACAUGCAAGUCGAACGGAGUCGGCCCCGCAAGGGACUGACUUAGUGGCGAACGGGUGAGUAACGCGUGAGCAACCUGCCUUUCAGUGAGGGACAACAGUUGGAAACGACUGCUAAUACCGCAUAAAGCAUUUUGACCGCAUGAUCGAGAUGCCAAAGAUUUAUUGCUGAAAGAUGGGCUCGCGUCUGAUUAGAUAGUUGGUGGGGUAACGGCCCACCAAGUCGACGAUCAGUAGCCGGACUGAGAGGUUGAACGGCCACAUUGGGACUGAGAUACGGCCCAGACUCCUACGGGAGGCAGCAGUGGGGAAUAUUGGGCAAUGGGGGAAACCCUGACCCAGCAACGCCGCGUGAAGGAAGAAGGCUUUCGGGUUGUAAACUUCUUUUACCAGGGACGAAGAAAGUGACGGUACCUGGAGAAAAAGCCACGGCUAACUACGUGCCAGCAGCCGCGGUAAUACGUAGGUGGCAAGCGUUGUCCGGAUUUACUGGGUGUAAAGGGCGUGUAGGCGGAGAUGCAAGUCAGAUGUGAAAUCCCCGGGCUUAACCCGGGAACUGCAUUUGAAACU
RNAcentral lists this ribosomal RNA (609 nucleotides) under uncultured bacterium. Its description in RNAcentral is "bacterial SSU rRNA". It matches the Rfam family "Bacterial small subunit ribosomal RNA", at positions 11 to 634 of the family's 1533-position model. The record is from RNAcentral.